AGAGGGUGCAANCGUUAAUCGGAAUUACUGGGCGUAAAGCGAGCGUAGGUGGGCUUGAUAAGUCAGAUGUGAAAUCCCCGGGCUUAACCUGGGAACUGCAUCUGAAACUGUUAGGCUAGAGUAGGUGAGAGGGAAGUAGAAUUUCAGGUGUAGCGGUGAAAUGCGUAGAGAUCUGAAGGAAUACCGAUGGCGAAGGCAGCUUCUUGGCAUCAUACUGACACUGAGGCUCGAAAGCGUGGGUAGCAAACAGGAUUAGAUACCCUGGUAGUCCACGCCGUAAACGAUGUCUACUAGUCGUUGGGUCCCUUGAGGACUUAGUGACGCAGCUAACGCAAUAAGUAGACCGCCUGGGGAGUACGGCCGCAAGGUUAAAACUCAAAUGAAUUGACGGGGGCCCGCACAAGCGGUGGAGCAUGUGGUUUAAUUCGAUGCAACGCGAAGAACCUUACCUGGUCUUGACAUAUCUAGAAUCCUGCAGAGAUGCGGGAGUGCCUUCGGGAAUUAGAAUACAGGUGCUGCAUGGCUGUCGUCAGCUCGUGUCGUGAGAUGUUGGGUUAAGUCCCGCAACGAGCGCAACCCUUGUCCUUAGUUACCAGCGGGUUAAGCCGGGAACUCUAAGGAUACUGCCAGUGACAAACUGGAGGAAGGCGGGGAGGACGUCAAGUCAUCAUGGCCCUUACGACCAGGGCUACACACGUGCUACAAUGGUAGGUACAGAGGGCAGCUACACAGCGAUGUGAUGCGAAUCUCAAAAAGCCUAUCGUAGUCCAGAUUGGAGUCUGCAACUCGACUCCAUGAAGUAGGAAUCGCUAGUAAUCGCGGAUCAGAAUGCCGCGGUGAAUACGUUCCCGGGCCUUGUACACACCGCCCGUCACACCAUGGGAGUUGAUUGCACCAGAAGUGGAUAGCUUAACCUUCGGGAGGCGUCACCAUAGGUGUGAU
Molecule: ribosomal RNA, 942 nt
Filed under: Psychrobacter sp. 21F07-MB1-8a
Lineage: Bacteria; Pseudomonadati; Pseudomonadota; Gammaproteobacteria; Moraxellales; Moraxellaceae
Description: bacterial SSU rRNA
Rfam family: Bacterial small subunit ribosomal RNA
Source: RNAcentral